GAGGAAUUUAAUAAGCUCUUGCAGACUUUCAAAUCAUGGAUAAUAACAUGUAACACCCUCUGCUACUUGAGAUGUUUGUACAAUGUUCUUAUGCACUACUUAUUCUUCAGCAGGGCCUGGAAGACCUGUGCCGUGAGAUGAGUGAUAGGGAGAAGAGAAUGGAGAGCGAGAUGGAGGCAGUCAGGAGGGCCAGCAGAGACCGGGAGAGGGACCUCAACACUCUCAAUACUGUACUUCAAAGUAACCAGCACAUCAUUAAUGAAAUGAGAGUAGAGCUGGUUGAGAAGGAGCGAGUGCAGAAGGAGGUGCAGGCAGAGAGGGAUGUGUGGAGGCAGAGAGACAAGGCCCUCACAGCGGUGCUCCAGGAGAAAGAAGCUCUUCUCCUCUGCCUCAAUGAGGCAUUAGAGAGCUGUCAAAAAGAUAUGCAGGCGCUUUGGGACUCUGUGAUUAGCCAAGGUGUUUCAGGAGGUGGAGCUGAGGGGGCUCUGGCCACUCAGCUGAAGGAGAAGGAGAAUCUGCUGACAGUAUUGCUGAAAGACAGAGAGAAAAACAGCAACGCCAUGUGCCAAGAGGUCUUCAAACUCAACUCUGCCCUGCAAGACUAUCAGGUCCUGAUGCAGGAGCAGCGGCAGAAACACGGUCAGACUGUGUCUUCACUGUCUCAGCAACUCAAAGACACUCAGAACCAGCUGAGGGAGAGAGGCAAGGAGAGCAGGGAGGCAGAGUGGGCCUGGCUCUGUGAAAAACAGGACCGAGAGAGGGAGGAGAGGAAACUGAGAGAGAGUCUGGAGAAGAGGGACAAACUUAUACAGCAAGUUCUCCUGCAGUCUGAGGAACGGGAUAAUCUAAUGAAAGAACUCCAACAGAACCUGCUGAAUAAAUGUGAGCCCCUGACUGCCGUCAAACACACGUUAUGAAAGGAGGGAGGUGGGUUAGGAACAUGAAUGUACAAUGGACAUUCAUAUGGGGGCUGUAUGAAGCUGCACUUUCUAGAACCACAGGCAGUUGACUAGUAAUUACAAGUCAAUACAAGCCUUUAGGAAAGGUUGUUUUCUGCAUUUGCACUAGUUGCAACAUAAUUCCGACAGACAAGCCUUGGAUUUUGUGUUAAAACUGUUUGUCCUUUAUUUGUAAGUAAUGGACAUCCACAUCAGUGUGUCAAUUUUACAUGCUCACUCUUAUUUGUAUAAUAUUUAAUGUUUUAAUGUUAAAUUACUGAUUGAAUUUAUUCAUUAUGCUAGUGGUUCAUGUCUGAUGAGGACCAAAGUAUUUGAAUUCUCAAUUAAAUUGAUCAUAUAGACAUGUCAGUCAAAUGAUGUGUAAGGGGGAAUAUGAUUCUUUUUUUUUGUGGCCUUCAGGACAAGGUGUACCCUUCCUUAUAACGGCUAAAAUCAUAAAGGAUUAUUUACAAAGUUUUCUUCAUUGGUUUUGUGUUAUGUUUUUUCAUUUCUUGUGUAAUUGUGUCUUUUUGGGCUGUAUCUACAAAUACUGACUUUUUUGUUUGUGUGCUAUAUGAUACACUGCUUGGCGUGGUGAUUGUCCUAAAGCGGUUUACAAAGUAUUUAUUUAGACAUCUUCUUUUAUGUGUGUUUGGAGAAAGUGGGGUUACUGCAGAAAAGUUUGAUCAGUUUAUUUUUGGAAAAUAUUUCAAAUUUUAUCUUGUUUUUAUGUGUAUUAAUUUGCCAUUCUUGGAUUUUUGCUGCCAAAUUAUUUCUUUUUUUCUUUGCGCAAUAAACCUCUAUGCAUCUAAUAAUUCAUUGCAUGUUGCUGCCUAUUCCAUGGAAUGCCAUGACCCGCGGGGGUCUCUUUUCUGUAUUUAAGUCGUGGAAUAUUAUCUCCAGUGAUUCAGUUGCAGUAAACCCCAC
Molecule: long non-coding RNA, 1865 nt
Organism: Esox lucius (northern pike)
Lineage: Eukaryota; Metazoa; Chordata; Actinopteri; Esociformes; Esocidae
Source: Ensembl